UACGGAGGGUGCAAGCGUUGUUCGGAAUUACUGGGCGUAAAGCGCGUGUAGGCGGCCGGUUAAGUCUGGUGUGAAAGCCCGGGGCUCACCCCCGGAAGUGCGCUGGAAACUGGUCGGCUAGAGUAUGGGAGAGGAAAGUGGAAUUCCCGGUGUAGCGGUGAAAUGCGUAGAUAUCGGGAGGAGCACCAGCGGCGAAGGCGGCUUUCUGGACCAAUACUGACGCUGAGACGCGAAAGCGUGGGGAGCAAACAGG
This 253-nucleotide ribosomal RNA is filed under the name uncultured bacterium. Its description in RNAcentral is "partial 16S ribosomal RNA". It matches the Rfam family "Bacterial small subunit ribosomal RNA", at positions 524 to 776 of the family's 1533-position model. The record is from RNAcentral.